GCCCCGGUAAACGGCGGCCGUAACUAUAACGGUCCUAAGGUAGCGAAAUUCCUUGUCGGGUAAGUUCCGACCUGCACGAAUGGCGUAAUGAUGGCCAGGCUGUCUCCACCCGAGACUCAGUGAAAUUGAACUCGCUGUGAAGAUGCAGUGUACCCGCGGCAAGACGGAAAGACCCCGUGAACCUUUACUAUAGCUUGACACUGAACAUUGAGCCUUGAUGUGUAGGAUAGGUGGGAGGCUUUGAAGUGUGGACGCCAGUCUGCAUGGAGCCGGCCUUGAAAUACCACCCUUUAAUGUUUGAUGUUCUAACGUGGACCCGUGAUCCGGGUUGCGGACAGUGUCUGGUGGGUAGUUUGACUGGGGCGGUCUCCUCCUAAAGAGUAACGGAGGAGCACGAAGGUUGGCUAAUCCUGGUCGGACAUCAGGAGGUUAGUGCAAUGGCAUAAGCCAGCUUGACUGCGAGCGUGACGGCGCGAGCAGGUGCGAAAGCAGGUCAUAGUGAUCCGGUGGUUCUGAAUGGAAGGGCCAUCGCUCAACGGAUAAAAGGUACUCCGGGGAUAACAGGCUGAUACCGCCCAAGAGUUCAUAUCGACGGCGGUGUUUGGCACCUCGAUGUCGGCUCAUCACAUCCUGGGGCUGAAGUAGGUCCCAAGGGUAUGGCUGUUCGCCAUUUAAAGUGGUACGCGAGCUGGGUUUAGAACGUCGUGAGACAGUUCGGUCCCUAUCUGCCGUGGGCGCUGGAGAACUGAGGGGGGCUGCUCCUAGUACGAGAGGACCGGAGUGGACGCAUCACUGGUGUUCGGGUUGUCAUGCCAAUGGCACUGCCCGGUAGCUAAAUGCGGAAGAGAUAAGUGCUGAAAGCAUCUAAGCACGAAACUUGCCCCGAGAUGAGUUCUCCCUGAGACUUAGAGUCUCCUGAAGGAACGUUGAAGACGACGACGUUGAUAGGCCGGGUGUGUAAGCGCAGCGAUG
Molecule: ribosomal RNA, 972 nt
Filed under: Salmonella enterica subsp. enterica serovar Schwarzengrund
Lineage: Bacteria; Pseudomonadati; Pseudomonadota; Gammaproteobacteria; Enterobacterales; Enterobacteriaceae
Description: partial 23S ribosomal RNA
Rfam family: Bacterial large subunit ribosomal RNA
Source: RNAcentral